This 673-nucleotide long non-coding RNA is filed under the name Pan troglodytes (chimpanzee). RNAcentral's name for it is "long non-coding RNA NONPTRT006325". The record is from RNAcentral. Lineage: Eukaryota; Metazoa; Chordata; Mammalia; Primates; Hominidae.
UAUCAUAAAAAGGGGUGGGGGAGAGUAGAUCAGGCAGACACAAUCACUGAAGGAGGAGAGUACAGGAGAUUUAGAGGAAGAAGAUCUGUGAAGAGGUUUGGGAGGAGUUAAGAAGGGAAAGCAAUCAGUCAUUCUUCCAAAGGCCAGUCUGCAGGGCUGGGACUGAGCACAGGCUGAAAUCAAGGUUGGACCACCUCUCAGCCCUUCUCAAGCCCUCCAGGCCUAGCAGUCUCCAUCUGAUCCUGUAUUGGAAAUGGGCAUGGAAGAUGCCACAACUUCUCAAGCUUUCCCUAGGAAAAGGGGUGGGUGAACUUCUGGCCUGAAGAAUCUGAGGAUGGAAGGUCAACUUUGCUCUUCUCCGGGGUUCUGGAACCAGACCUUCCUAACCUGCUCUGCUCACCUGGAGCCCCAGCCCACUGUCACCCAUGCCCUCAUCUCCAGACUGUUCUUCCAGCAAGUAAGAGUCACAGCAGCUAGGCUUGCAAAGCAGAGAUGGUGGGUUGGAGCACCAGCUUCCGUGUCAAGCAGGGCGGGCUGCACUCCCAGCGCCCUGGUGCCUCUGGCUCUCGAGGCUUGUUCCUCAUCUCUAGCUCCCUCACAGAGUUGUCCUGAGGCUCACAAUGGGAACACGUCAAUAAAUUACCUAUUGCAUUAAAAUGAGUUGUUAUUAUUG